AUUGUCCUACGGGGCGCAGCAGUAGGGAAUAUUGCUCAAUGGGGGAAACUCUGAUGUAGCAACGCCGCGUGGAGGAUGAAGGGUUUAGGAUUGUAAACUUCUUUUGUGAGAGAAGAUAAUGACGGUAUCUCACGAAUAAGCACCGGCUAACUACGUGCCAGCAGCCGCGGUAAUACGGAGGGAGCAAGCGUUACUCGGAAUCACUGGGCGUAAAGAGAGCGCAGGCGGGCGUGAAAG
Molecule: ribosomal RNA, 237 nt
Filed under: uncultured bacterium
Lineage: Bacteria
Description: partial 16S ribosomal RNA
Rfam family: Bacterial small subunit ribosomal RNA
Source: RNAcentral